This 351-nucleotide long non-coding RNA is filed under the name Bos taurus (domestic cattle). Its description in RNAcentral is "long non-coding RNA NONBTAT024810". Lineage: Eukaryota; Metazoa; Chordata; Mammalia; Artiodactyla; Bovidae. The record is from RNAcentral.
GGUCAAACUUUUAUACAAAUACAACGAAGCAUUUCCUUUAGUCUCAUCACCAAGUUUCACUUGAUGAUAAACACAAAUCAAAAUUAGAACACUGGUUACUUAAUACAAUUUCCUUCAAACACUCAGUUGAAUAUUAAUAAAAUUAUCUGAUGAUGAUGGCUGAAUAUUUAAACAUAAAUACAUAUACAAAUUCUCCAAUUGUAUUUUGAUUCCUUUGACAGAAUAUAGGCAUUAUUUUUAGCCAUGGAUUGCCCCAUCAAGGUUAAGUUGACAAGUGAAAUUGACAAGAUUAAGUUUUUGGCUAUAACUAAGUUUUACUAACAAAAUUAACCCACUUUUAAUCUAAGAUCU